UACGAAGGGUGCAAACGUUGCUCGGAAUCAUUGGGCGUAAAGCGCACGUAGGCGGCUCCAAAAGUCGGAUGUGAAAUCCCUGGGCUCAACCGAGGAAGUGCAUCCGAAACUGCGGAGCUUGAGUAUGGAAGAGGGUCGCGGAAUUCCCGGUGUAGAGGUGAAAUUCGUAGAUAUCGGGAGGAACACCAGUGGCGAAGGCGGCGACCUGGGCCAAUACUGACGCUGAGGUGCGAAAGCGUGGGGAUCAAACAGG
This 253-nucleotide ribosomal RNA is filed under the name uncultured bacterium. RNAcentral describes it as "partial 16S ribosomal RNA". It matches the Rfam family "Bacterial small subunit ribosomal RNA", at positions 524 to 776 of the family's 1533-position model. The record is from RNAcentral.